UGACUUUUGGCUAUUUUUAUUCAUUCAUAAGGAAUGGGAAUGGGUGAAUGAAUGAAUGGAUUGAUGUUUUGAACACAUCUAAAGUUUAACUUUUUUUCUUCUCUUUUGUGUUUUUAGCCAUAAUUCACAGACUACUGCAUCAUCAUCAUCAUCAUCAUCAACCCUUUUGUUUCUGAUCUCAUCAUUACAAUAAACAACAACAAUAAUAACUUCUAUAUAUACUAUUCGGGUACUCCGGAUCAUCAUUGGAAAAAAAAGAAAAAAUUUCAAAAAAAAAAAAAAAUUUGUUUCAUAUUAAUUUCGAUAACUCCCACAACAUACACCAUACACACACACGCAUAGUUUGUGUACUAAGGUCCACCAUGAUGUGCUUUUAAAAAAAAAAAAUCAUAGAUUGUACCAUUCAUUGAUUGAUUCAAAAAAGAAUGAUUUUUAUCAUAUAUAGUGCGUAUCAUGUGCCGAUUGUAUCCAAUAAAUAAAUGAAAUCAUUAUUAUUAUUAUUAA
Dermatophagoides farinae (American house dust mite) is the source of this 504-nucleotide non-coding RNA. The record is from RefSeq and is a predicted model, not a curated record. Lineage: Eukaryota; Metazoa; Arthropoda; Arachnida; Sarcoptiformes; Pyroglyphidae.